CGCACGCUCCUUAGAUCCGUUUCAUUAUCAAUGUGAAACGCUUGAGUCAUAAGCGUGCAAUAUCAUGGCACCUCCAUACCUUAGCUGAUAUGUGUUUAUCUUUAUUGACCUACACUUGCUUUGGAAUGGGGAACAA
Molecule: small nucleolar RNA, 136 nt
Filed under: Papilio xuthus (Asian swallowtail)
Lineage: Eukaryota; Metazoa; Arthropoda; Insecta; Lepidoptera; Papilionidae
Description: Small nucleolar RNA SNORA53
Rfam family: Small nucleolar RNA SNORA53
About the family: The snoRNA ACA53 belongs to the H/ACA family of pseudouridylation guide snoRNAs.
Source: Rfam by way of RNAcentral